Molecule: ribosomal RNA, 292 nt
Filed under: uncultured bacterium
Lineage: Bacteria
Description: partial 16S ribosomal RNA
Rfam family: Bacterial small subunit ribosomal RNA
Source: RNAcentral
GUUCCAGCAGCCGCGGUAAGACAGAGGGUGCAAACGUUGUUCGGAAUUACUGGGCGUAAAGCGCGUGUAGGCGGCUUGGCAAGUCGGGUGUGAAAGCCCUGGGCUCAACCUAGGAAGUGCACUCGAAACUGCCUCGCUGGAGUGCCGGAGAGGAAAGCGGAAUUCUCGGUGUAGAGGUGAAAUUCGUAGAUAUCGAGAGGAACACCGGUGGCGAAGGCGGCUUUCUGGACGGUUACUGACGCUGAGACGCGAAAGCGUGGGGAGCAAACAGGAUUAGAAACCCGGGUAGUCC